UAUUCUGCCCCAUGGGGAAGGAUGAGAAGCUUCGACUAAGGUUCGACUCGAGCGCCAGCGAGAGAACGUUGCCA
RNAcentral lists this small RNA (74 nucleotides) under Klebsiella pneumoniae. RNAcentral's name for it is "partial RtT sRNA". It matches the Rfam family "RtT RNA", at positions 1 to 73 of the family's 130-position model. From Rfam's summary of the family: This family represents a bacterial cis-regulatory element known as RtT RNA. The exact function of RtT is unknown although it is thought that it may be involved in changing the cellular response in relation to amino acid starvation. The record is from RNAcentral. Lineage: Bacteria; Pseudomonadati; Pseudomonadota; Gammaproteobacteria; Enterobacterales; Enterobacteriaceae.